Molecule: long non-coding RNA, 330 nt
Filed under: Mytilus galloprovincialis (Mediterranean mussel)
Lineage: Eukaryota; Metazoa; Mollusca; Bivalvia; Mytilida; Mytilidae
Source: RNAcentral
GGAGGCUGUAUAUAUUAAAAUUUAUCACCUUUGUAGUCAUUGCAAAGUAAAAUGCUUGAAUAAUUAUAUCAUAUCAUUGACUAAUAAUGAGCAGAAUAAUAUAAGAAGAUGUGGUAUAAGUGCCAAUAAGAAAAAUCUCCAUCUAAGUCACUAUUCGUAAAAGUAAACCAUCAUAGGCCAAAGUACGGUCUUCAACACGGAGCAUUGGCUCACACUGAACAACAAACUAUAAAGGCCCCCAAAACGAUAUCCAUGUUACUACUAGUAUAUAUAUUACAAAGAAAAUUGAGUAAAUUGAUGUUAUACCUAAGAAAAAAAUCAACCCUGCUA